GCAUAUCAAUAAGCGGAGGAAAAGAAACCAACAGGGAUUGCCCUAGUAACGGCGAGUGAAGCGGCAACAGCUCAAAUUUGAAAUCUGGCCUCGGCCCGAGUUGUAAUUUGCAGAGGAAGCUUUAGGCGCGGCCCCAGCUGAGUCCCCUGGAACGGGGCGCCACAGAGGGUGAGAGCCCCGUAUAGCUGGACGCCUAGCCUGUGUAAAGCUCCUUCGACGAGUCGAGUAGUUUGGGAAUGCUGCUCAAAAUGGGAGGUAAAUUUCUUCUAAAGCUAAAUACCGGCCAGAGACCGAUAGCGCACAAGUAGAGUGAUCGAAAGAUGAAAAGCACUUUGAAAAGAGGGUUAAAUAGCACGUGAAAUUGUUGAAAGGGAAGCGCUUGUGACCAGACUUGCGCCGGGCUGAUCAUCCGGUGUUCUCACCGGUGCACUCUGCCCGGCUCAGGCCAGCAUCGGUUUUCGCGGGGGGAUAAAGGCCCCGGGAACGUAGCUCCUCCGGGAGUGUUAUAGCCCGGGGCGUAAUGCCCUCGCGGGGACCGAGGUUCGCGCUCUGCAAGGAUG
Molecule: ribosomal RNA, 560 nt
Filed under: Brachychaeta variospora
Lineage: Eukaryota; Fungi; Ascomycota; Sordariomycetes; Sordariales; Chaetomiaceae
Description: partial 28S ribosomal RNA
Rfam family: Eukaryotic large subunit ribosomal RNA
Source: RNAcentral